AAUAUUCGACAAUGGGCGAAAGCCUGAUCCAGCCAUGCCGCGUGAGUGAUGAUGGCCCUAGGGUUUUAAUGCUCUUUCAAGGGUGAAGAUAAUGACGGUAACCGUAGAAGAAGACCCGGCUACCUUCGUGCCAGCAGCCGCGGUAAUACGAAGGGGGCUAGCGUUGUUCGGAAUUACUGGGCGUAAAGCUCACGUAGGCGGAUUGUUAAGUGAGGGGUGAAAUCCAAGGGCACAACCCUGGAACUGCCUCUCAUACUGGCAAUCUAGAGUUCGAGAGAGGUGAGUGGAAUUCCGAGUGUAGAGGUGAAAUUCGUAGAUAUUCGGAGGAACACCAGUGGCGAAGGCGGCUCACUGGCUCGAUACUGACGCUGAGGUGCGAAAGCGUGGGGAGCAAACA
This 397-nucleotide ribosomal RNA is filed under the name uncultured bacterium. RNAcentral describes it as "partial 16S ribosomal RNA". It matches the Rfam family "Bacterial small subunit ribosomal RNA", at positions 360 to 774 of the family's 1533-position model. The record is from RNAcentral.